RNAcentral lists this ribosomal RNA (497 nucleotides) under uncultured bacterium. RNAcentral describes it as "partial 16S ribosomal RNA". It matches the Rfam family "Bacterial small subunit ribosomal RNA", at positions 28 to 507 of the family's 1533-position model. The record is from RNAcentral.
GAUGAACGCUGGCGGCGUGCCUAAUACAUGCAAGUCGAGCGGACAGACGCGGAGCUUGCUCCUCUGACGUUUGCGGCGGGCGGGUGUGUCACACGUGUAUCACCUACCUAUCAUAGUGGGAUAAUUUCGGGAAACCGGAUCUUAUACCGUAUAAUAUAUUGCACCGCAGUGUUCAAUAGUGAAAGACGGUUGUGCUGUCUCUUAUCGCUGCAUCUGGGCCGCAUUAGCUAGUUGUGAAGGUCACGGCUUACCAAGGCUACGAUGCGUAGCCGACCUGAGAGAGUGGUCGGCCACAUGGGAAGUGAGACGCGGUCAAGGCUACUACGAGAGGGAGCAGAAGGGAAUCGUCCGCAGUGGGCGAAAGCAUGACGGAGCAACGCCGCGCGAGAGAUGAAGGCCUUGGGAGCGUAAUAACCUGUUAUUAGGGAAGAACAAAUGUGUAAGUAACCAUGCAGGUAGUGACGGUAAUUAGUCAAAAAGCAACGGCUAACUACGUG